Molecule: ribosomal RNA, 486 nt
Filed under: Streptococcus dysgalactiae subsp. equisimilis
Lineage: Bacteria; Bacillati; Bacillota; Bacilli; Lactobacillales; Streptococcaceae
Description: bacterial SSU rRNA
Rfam family: Bacterial small subunit ribosomal RNA
Source: RNAcentral
UUAAUGAGAGUUUGAUCCUGGCUCAGGACGAACGCUGGCGGCGUGCCUAAUACAUGCAAGUAGAACGCUGAGGACUGGUGCUUGCACCGGUCCAAGGAGUUGCGAACGGGUGAGUAACGCGUAGGUAACCUACCUCAUAGCGGGGGAUAACUAUUGGAAACGAUAGCUAAUACCGCAUAAAAGUGUUUAACCCAUGUUAAACAUUUAAAAGGUGCAACUGCAUCACUAUGAGAUGGACCUGCGUUGUAUUAGCUAGUUGGUGAGGUAACGGCUCACCAAGGCGACGAUACAUAGCCGACCUGAGAGGGUGAUCGGCCACACUGGGACUGAGACACGGCCCAGACUCCUACGGGAGGCAGCAGUAGGGAAUCUUCGGCAAUGGACGGAAGUCUGACCGAGCAACGCCGCGUGAGUGAAGAAGGUUUUCGGAUCGUAAAGCUCUGUUGUUAGAGAAGAAUGAUGGUGGGAGUGGAAAAUCCACCAUGU